This 378-nucleotide unclassified non-coding RNA is filed under the name uncultured Actinomycetes bacterium. RNAcentral's name for it is "uncultured actinobacterium contains 16S-23S intergenic spacer region". Lineage: Bacteria; Bacillati; Actinomycetota; Actinomycetes. The record is from RNAcentral.
UCCGGUUUGGCACCGGCAGUCUCCUACGAGUCCCCGCCAUAACGCGCUGGCAACAUAGGAUAAGGGUUGCGCUCGUUGCGGGACUUAGCCCAACAUCUCACGACACGAGCUGACGACAGCCAUGCACCACCUGUGAAGAUGCCCCGAAGGGAAGACCUGUUUCCAGGCCGGUCAUCCACAUGUCAAGCCCAGGUAAGGUUCUUCGCGUUGCGUCGAAUUAAACCACAUGCUCCGCUGCUUGUGCGGGCCCCCGUCAAUUCCUUGGAGUUUUAAUCUUGCGACCGUACUCCCCAGGCGGGGCACUUAAUGCGUUAGCUGCGGCACCCAAGGGGUCAAUACCUCGGACACCUAGUGCCCAUCGUUUACAGCGUGGACUAC